Molecule: long non-coding RNA, 1105 nt
Filed under: Meriones unguiculatus (Mongolian gerbil)
Lineage: Eukaryota; Metazoa; Chordata; Mammalia; Rodentia; Muridae
Description: lncRNA (ENSMUGG00000023414.1)
Source: RNAcentral
GUACAGUUGAAAGCGGUCGCCAUCACUUGUGAGUUUGGCGUCAUCCAUUGUCACCACCGAGGAAUGCGCUUUGGGAGAUAACACCAAGCGCAGGGCUUCGCAAACGCGCAGAGCUCUCUGCCUGUUUCCAGGUGCGCUCCUAUCUGGUCCUCGGUCCCGGGUUCCCAGCAGCUGGGGGGAGCAACCAGGAACCAGUUACCGCGUCUGAACCUCAGGACCAGAGCGGCAGUUCUCAACGAUGGGCAGGUGGGACCUCGGCGGCGACCCCUAAAACAAUACCAUGCUCGGGGAGUCCCUCUGCUGCCGCAUCAGCUUCUUCCCUUUCCACCUCCCUGACCCUGUCGGAUUCGGAUGAGCUAAAGAGACAAGGCCGCCAGAACUCCAGCCUUUCAUUUCCCUAGAAUGCUUCUCCUACGUCCGGUAAGUAGCAACCUCUCCUACCCAUCCGUGCCGAAUGCCAGAAGUGUUAUCACCGGGUGUCUGUACCUCAAAGCUGUCGCCCGCCCUAUGCCCGAAAUCCGGGAUCAAUUAGCCACCAAACUGAGGCUACCAGCUCGCUUUCUUUCCACUCGAGUGUGAGUUGUUUUUUUUUUUUUUUUUCCCAAGCCAAGGACCCUUCCUGCCCUGCUGUUAUACUUAGGACUGGCAGUGCUAGAGCCGGUGUGGCUGCGCUUUCCUGCCUCACCGGCGGGGGAUAGAAAAGUCCGCCGGAGCCCCACUGCUGAGCUAUCAUCUCUUCCCCUGUACCGCGGUGCUGGAGGUGCAGAGACAGGUCCUUCUACGCCCUCAGGCGCUGAAAGCAGAUGUCCAGUGCAGGAAGGGAAAGGACCUGUCCAGUCGCUUUCCAGUCCCGACCAGGCUUGGGGCCUUCUCGAAAGAUUUCUCCUCUAAGUUGACCAGCCCGGGGGUCCCGUUGAAGCUUUCAGCGCCGGCGCGGUCACUUCUUUCUCUGUAAUCCCCUCCGCGAUCGAGACGCCCAGCUAGCUAAGGUCUCCAAACUAAGCAGAGAAAGGAAGCUUUCAGCAAAGAGCCUGUCUGUCUUGGAAGGGCAGUUCCCACACUUGCUGGUUGAAUAAAUCGUGUGGCCUGCCAGGGGGCUUGCGCA